Molecule: long non-coding RNA, 657 nt
Filed under: Equus caballus (horse)
Lineage: Eukaryota; Metazoa; Chordata; Mammalia; Perissodactyla; Equidae
Description: lncRNA (ENSECAG00000044392.1)
Source: RNAcentral
AAAGGCUGUAUGUAAUCCCUGAUGGCUAUCAGCUUAUCACUGUAAAGCCAGAGAGGACUGAAGAUAGUGAAUGAGAGGGGAGGGCUGGACAGAAACCUGCAGGAGCGAGGCGUCCUUCUCCAGGGGGGCUCCGUGGAAAGCAGAGCCCUGGGCGGCCGCAGCACGGGCCCAUCACCGCGAUCUGGAGCAGGGUGAGCGGGCACCUGCCUCACUGAUUAGACUUGGGAACAAAGUGGUGAAUAUGAAUGCAACCGACGGCUCUGCUGACACAGCAGAUAAUGGCUUGAAGGGUGAAAACUCCAGACCAGGUCUGCGACCAGCCUUUCACAGCAGAGAGAUGGCUCUGAAGCUUGGGAGCAGCCAGGUUGUCAGCUGUCUGACGCGGCCGAUGGAUGGGAGGCGGAGGGCAAACUUCGACAGACUUCUCCCCUCCUUACUUUCCCUCAUUCUUUUUUUCUCUCCCAACAGGAGGUUGGAUGUGCUUGAGAUUUCUGCAAAAGAAGAGGGGGGAUGGGCAGCUUACAUGUGGGGGCUCUCCCGUCAUGUCUCAGUCCUGCCCUGCACAGCGGUGUCUCCUUCGGGCUUUUCCUCACUCAGGAAGAUGUUUGUUGAGUGGCUUCUACUGUCACUACUAAAAGCGGAAGGUGCCGCGGGCAC